UGCCAGCCGCCGCGGUAAUACGAAGGGCCCGAGCGUUAAUCGGAAUCACUGGGCUUAAAGGGUGCGCAGGCGGACAGGUCAGUGUCUUGUGAAAUCCCACGGCUCAACCGUGGAAUUGCUUGGCAUACUGCCUGUCUUGAGCCCGGCAGGGGCCGUCGGAACUCUAGGUGGAGCGGUGAAAUGCGUAGAUAUCUAGAGGAACGCCAAAGGUGAAGACAGACGGCUGGGCCGGUGCUGACGCUCAGGCACGAAGGCGUGGGUAGCGAACGGGAUUAGAUA
This 279-nucleotide ribosomal RNA is filed under the name uncultured bacterium. RNAcentral describes it as "partial 16S ribosomal RNA". It matches the Rfam family "Bacterial small subunit ribosomal RNA", at positions 506 to 784 of the family's 1533-position model. The record is from RNAcentral.